This 72-nucleotide transfer RNA is filed under the name Alligator mississippiensis (American alligator). It matches the Rfam family "tRNA". From Rfam's summary of the family: Transfer RNA (tRNA) molecules are approximately 80 nucleotides in length. Their secondary structure includes four short double-helical elements and three loops (D, anti-codon, and T loops). Further hydrogen bonds mediate the characteristic L-shaped molecular structure. tRNAs have two regions of fundamental functional importance: the anti-codon, which is responsible for specific mRNA codon recognition, and the 3' end, to which the tRNAs corresponding amino acid is attached (by aminoacyl-tRNA synthetases). tRNAs cope with the degeneracy of the genetic code in two manners: having more than one tRNA (with a specific anti-codon) for a particular amino acid; and 'wobble' base-pairing, i.e. permitting non-standard base-pairing at the 3rd anti-codon position. The record is from Rfam by way of RNAcentral. Lineage: Eukaryota; Metazoa; Chordata; Crocodylia; Alligatoridae.
UCCCUGGUGGUCUAGUGGUUAGGAUUUAGCACUCUCACUACUACAGCCUGGGUUUGAUUCCCAAGCAGGGAA